Molecule: long non-coding RNA, 377 nt
Organism: Perca flavescens (yellow perch)
Lineage: Eukaryota; Metazoa; Chordata; Actinopteri; Perciformes; Percidae
Exons: 3
Source: RefSeq, a predicted model, not a curated record
UGUUCCAUUUGAAAAGGGAGACUUUCUAUUGGAAUACAGAGGUGAUCUAAUAAGCAAGCAAGAAUGUGAGAGGAGACGGAGCAUUUACCAUGACCUCCUCAAAGUGUUUAUGUUCGAGUUCCAUUUUAAUGGAAAACUGUGGUGUGUUGAUGCAGCAACAGAGAAUGGGUCACUUGGCAGACUUGUAAAUGACGACCAUAUGAACCCUAAUGCCAAGAUGAAGUACCUCACUGUACAAGGGAAGCCCCAUCUCUGUUUGUUUGCAGUUCGAGACAUAAGUCCAGGAGAGGAGAUCACCUAUAAUUAUGGUGACUCAGACUGGCCGUGGAGAUGCAAGGCCCUUGAUGAUGAAAUGGCUCCAAAGAUUUGUGGUGCCA